AAUGCAUUUGCUUUCAGCCGCAGAGAGAAGAAGCUGCCCAAGAAUGGAAAGGAAGAAAUAUAUCACAUCAUCUGUCUGUCCACAGGCUUUCCUUGGGGCUUAUGAAGUGAAUGAAGGAGGGAAGAAAGGAGAGACAGAGAAAAUAUGGAUUUCCUCAUGGUUGUGAUUCCUCUUCACUCUUUUGAAUUUGGAAGGAUGGCAUACACAUCUGAAAAAUACCACUACUUCCUUCAUUGGACUGCAAGGUAUUUCUGUUUGGAAAAGUAAUGGAGUCCAGUCAACUUCAUUGAUCGCCAAGGACUGUCAAAAUUAUAAAACUUGCUGUGGAGCUCUGACAUGCCAGAAGCCGCUAGAAAAAGAAGUUUGACAUUCAGAAACUUAUCAAGAGGUUCUACUCUUUGGAUAGAGACCAAAAUCAUACUUUGAAAAAGCCUGACAGGUUUCUUCGGAAAAGUGGCCAUCCAUGGAAUGAAUGAAAUGUUCUCUUUCUAUUCCAGGGAUUGCAGUGGCAAAGCUAGGCUAGGUCUUGGAGGCUGGUGUAAGGCGAUGUGGGUGAAGGCAGGAGGCUGAUGGAAAGACUGGGGGGAAGAAAAGCCGAAAUGGAUUCACGGUGCCUUGGAUGAAGGACGAGAGGGGAACUGCAAGCUCCUUCAACUGGUUCUGUCCGGUGAGAAGUGAUCAAGCUUGGGCUGACAAGAGGCUCAGGGAGCCCUCACGUUCUUUCGCUUUUUUACCUGCCAAUCAAACUGCUACAAGACAACACCCUGAUCUGGCAUGGACAUCGCGGGUCCAAGCCUGUAGCCCCAAAUCGGAUAAUCUCUGCAGCUGAUAACAAGCAAAAGAGAAGCCAGGCAACAGCCAUAUUAAAGAAGAAAACAAUCAACUCUGAGAUCCAACUUAGAAAUAAUGUUUCAUUCAAGAUAAGGCUCGUGGCUUAGGAGAUUGUGACCUGGCUUGCAUCAUUCUAAGACUUCUAUCGUCUGUUUUCAAAACCCAAGGAGGACCUCCUUUUCUGUGUGAUAGUUCCUCAUGCUUUGCCAGCCACUGGGUCUUUAAGGAAGCUUGCCAAGAGUUCCCGGCUGGGAAGGACAGUUCGAGUUCAUCAUAGACAAUGAGCUGGCACCACAGUUUAAGUGACUCACCAACCUGGUUGCCCACUUCAAAAUGUCAAGAACCACACUAUCUAAUUGAAAGAACUGUGUUUUAGCAAAGUGUAAUUGGAUCGCCUGGCAAGAUCAUCUCAAACUAUGUCUCUGACCUUGCCUUUCAGUGGCUAUUUUGAGCACAAGAGGAGAAAGGAAAUGAUUCCUGAAUUAUAUCUUGUUUUUAAAAAUUAAGAUUAAUUAAUACUUGGUUUUAUGUUCAUUCCAUUGUAGGAACUUAGUGAUUAUUACAAAACAGUCAAAAUAGGUCAUAGCAAAAUGAACGUUUAAGAUUAGGUUAAAACAUUCCUCUGAAAUUUUAGUAUUCACUUUUGAAGUGUCAAUUACUAUAUUUCUGUAAUUUCUCAUUUUUUUCUUGGCUUAGAGUCAAGAUGAAAAAUGAUAUUUGAAUCAAAGACAUUGUUUUGUUAUAUAGCCACUCCUUUCUAAAAUGCAAAUCCACCCUCCCCUCACCAAUGCUUUAUUCUUUGUGCGCGCACACACACACACACACACACACACACACACACACACACACAGACAUACACAGAACCAGCACCCAAAUGGUAGAGGAGGUCCUUCCAAGACUUCUAGGACCUGGAUCAUGUAAGCAGUAGAUGAGAAAAUGAAGUAAGAGAUAUAGAGUAAUAACAAUAAAAGUCAAUGAUUUCAUUUUACAAAAAAGUCAUUGUGUAGUACUCAGAUAUUUUUAAGAGCAAGUAUUAUUAUGACUAAAGUAUAUUAUACUUCUAAAUUAUUAUGAUUCUCAUCUAAUUUCAAGCCACACAUAGGCGCCAUUUGAAAGCAUUUUGUGUUACAACCUAUCAACAAAAAUCAACUAAUAGUUUUAUAACGUGCAUAGGUUUACCCCAUGGGGAAUUAAAAUUUUUAUCUGCAAGUAUUUCUGUUGUUGUGAGACUUUAGGACAAGACAACAUUUGGUGUUAACAUAGAAGAAUAUUCUAUGGCUUUUUUAGCUUUAAAGUUCAUUACUCUAAAAUAAAGUACACGUGGUAUUUUUUUCUUCCUAGUGUUCUCUUAUUAUAUGUAGAGUAUUUUCGGUUGUUGUUUUUAACGUAUACAUUAUUUUUAUUAAGUCAUUUCAUAAAAGAUAAGAUAUAUACUAAUAGACCCUUGGUUUUCUCCUAAUUUAAUUAUUUCAAGUCAAGCAAAAUUGGGCAAUUUUCUUUCAGGAAAAAAAAAAUAUUGAGCAUGAUUUUGAGGUAAAACUGAUUAUUUACAGCAUCUUUUCUCUAAUAGGCUAACAUUUAUGAUGGAUCUUAUUUCAAAGUUGAUUAUUCUCAAAGAAAAGUGGAGAUAUUAGAAUUUCCGAGUAAAUUGCAUUGUUUUAAAAAGUACUUUAAUGCAUUGUUCACAUUGUUGCCAGCUAUUGACCAAAAAAGAGAAGAAGAAAAAAGAAAUAAAAAAAGCAGUAUCUGCUCCAAACGUCAAGUUUUGCAGUUUGAAAGACUUGUACAUUAUAAUUGUUUUUUUCUUUUUUGGAAAGCAGUAGUAAUUAAUACCAAAGGCAUAGACAAUUUAGGGCCAUAACCUCCCUUCCCCCCUCUCCACCUUUUUUUUUUUUUUUUUUUUUUUUUAACUUUAACCAUGAUAGGCAUCUCUGCAAGGUAGGUUUUAACAUAUUUUUUUCCUAAUUUUUUUCCCUCCAUUCAGUAAGAAGGAUAAGCUUUUAGAGUACCCAGUCACCGUGGUAACUGCCAAAAAAAUUCUCCUGAAGUUUGAAGAGGUCAGCUAGCAGGGUCAACAACCCUGGCCUCUCUCUGAGCUCGGUCUAGCAUGCCCCAGCCUGCGGUUGGAGUGUCAGGCCAGAUCUGACCCUGGGAGGUGGACCAUUCUGGCUCUGAUAUAAAUUUUUCGAGUCAGUUCAUGGCCUGGACUCUCCAGGUGGCCUCCAAAAUCGAUUUUGACCCCCUGACCCUGUCUCACGGAGGCAUAGCAUCCACCCUAAGUAAGGAUUUAGCCAGGAAUGACAGCUUUCCACUGAGUGUUAUUGGGGACAGUAUAAACAGUUUGGAAAGCAAGUAAGGAGGUGUGAGGGCUAGCAAUCAUUAAAAGCACAUUAAAAAACAAUUUUUAAAAAUCUUUAUUAGAGAAAGUUGUAAAUGCAUAUCUGUUACAGAAUUCCUGUGAUUUGUAGAGUUUUCUAGUCAGUUUUGAAUAUAAAUAGGUCACAUAUCUUUAUCUUUUUGCAUACUUUGUUACAAAUAUGCAAAUAAGAUAGGCAUACUUGCUACAAAAUAGGUACAGCAGGAAUGUAAUAUGUUCAGAAAAGGCAAACUGGUUAUUAAAACACAUUAACAGGUAAGGAGUUUCUAAUAUUUUAAAUACUAAAAUUUUACAUGUGUAUUUUGAAGUUUUUAAAAUGGAAAAAUAAAGAACCUUUAA
RNAcentral lists this long non-coding RNA (3547 nucleotides) under Homo sapiens (human). Its description in RNAcentral is "non-protein coding SOX2-OT:8". The stretch from base 507 to 782 matches the Rfam family "SOX2 overlapping transcript exon 3". The record is from RNAcentral. Lineage: Eukaryota; Metazoa; Chordata; Mammalia; Primates; Hominidae.